Molecule: ribosomal RNA, 832 nt
Filed under: Metarhizium cylindrosporum
Lineage: Eukaryota; Fungi; Ascomycota; Sordariomycetes; Hypocreales; Clavicipitaceae
Description: partial large subunit ribosomal RNA
Rfam family: Eukaryotic large subunit ribosomal RNA
Source: RNAcentral
GCCCCAGUAACGGCGAGUGAAGCGGCAACAGCUCAAAUUUGAAAUCUGGCCCCUAGGGCCCGAGUUGUAAUUUGCAGAGGAUGCUUUUGGCGAGGUGCCUUCCGAGUUCCCUGGAACGGGACGCCAUAGAGGGUGAGAGCCCCGUCUGGUUGGAUGCCGAGCCUCUGUAAAGCUCCUUCGACGAGUCGAGUAGUUUGGGAAUGCUGCUCUAAAUGGGAGGUAUAUGUCUUCUAAAGCUAAAUACCGGCCAGAGACCGAUAGCGCACAAGUAGAGUGAUCGAAAGAUGAAAAGCACUUUGAAAAGAGGGUUAAAUAGUACGUGAAAUUGUUGAAAGGGAAGCGCUUAUGACCAGACUUGGACCCGGUGAAUCAUCCAGCGUUCUCGCUGGUGCACUUUGCCGGGCUCAGGCCAGCAUCAGUUUGCCUUGGGGGAUAAAGGCUUUGGGAAUGUGGCUCCCUCGGGAGUGUUAUAGCCCAUUGCACAAUACCCUGGGGCGGACUGAGGUUCGCGCAUCUGCAAGGAUGCUGGCGUAAUGGUCAUCAGCGACCCGUCUUGAAACACGGACCAAGGAGUCGUCUUCGUAUGCGAGUGUUCGGGUGUAAAACCCCUACGCGUAAUGAAAGUGAACGCAGGUGAGAGCUUCGGCGCAUCAUCGACCGAUCCUGAUGUUCUCGGAUGGAUUUGAGUAAGAGCAUACGGGGCCGGACCCGAAAGAAGGUGAACUAUGCCUGUAUAGGGUGAAGCCAGAGGAAACUCUGGUGGAGGCUCGCAGCGGUUCUGACGUGCAAAUCGAUCGUCAAAUAUGGGCAUGGGGGCGAAAGACUAAUCGAA